RNAcentral lists this small nuclear RNA (62 nucleotides) under Choloepus hoffmanni (Hoffmann's two-fingered sloth). Its description in RNAcentral is "U7 small nuclear RNA (ENSCHOG00000014751.1)". It matches the Rfam family "U7 small nuclear RNA". Rfam says of the family: Animal histone pre-mRNAs are spliced by a different mechanism than nuclear pre-mRNAs and self-splicing introns. This processing involves the U7 snRNP, which contains only one RNA species: U7. Lineage: Eukaryota; Metazoa; Chordata; Mammalia; Pilosa; Megalonychidae. The record is from RNAcentral.
AAGUGUUACAGCUCUUUUAGAAUUUGUCUAGCAGGUUUUCUGGCUUUACCUGGAGAACCCUU